AGCUCUGCUCAGUGGCAGUGUCGUAGCCAACGAGGUUUGUCCGAGGCGAGAUUUUUGCUAAUUGCAAACUUUUCCCAGUACCCCGCCAUGACGACUUGCCACAUGGUCGGCAUUGGCAAUUUUCGACGGUCCCUACGGGGA
This 141-nucleotide small nuclear RNA is filed under the name Microcebus murinus (gray mouse lemur). RNAcentral's name for it is "U4 spliceosomal RNA (ENSMICG00000042386.1)". It matches the Rfam family "U4 spliceosomal RNA". From Rfam's summary of the family: U4 small nuclear RNA (U4 snRNA) is a component of the major U2-dependent spliceosome. Lineage: Eukaryota; Metazoa; Chordata; Mammalia; Primates; Cheirogaleidae. The record is from Rfam by way of RNAcentral.